GACGAACGCUGGCGGCGUGCUUAACACAUGCAAGUCGAACGGAAAGGCCCUGCUUUUGUGGGGUGCUCGAGUGGCGAACGGGUGAGUAACACGUGAGUAACCUGCACUUGACUUUGGGAUAACUUCAGGAAACUGGGGCUAAUACCGGAUAGGAGCUCCUGCUGCAUGGUGGGGGUUGGAAAGUUUCGGCGGUUGGGGAUGGACUCGCGGCUUAUCAGCUUGUUGGUGGGGUAGUGGCUUACCAAGGCUUUGACGGGUAGCCGGCCUGAGAGGGUGACCGGCCACAUGGGGACUAAGGGACGGCGCAGACUCCUACGUGAGGCAAUAGUGGAGAGUAUUGCACAGUGGGGGGAAGCCUGAUGCAGAAGCGCCGCGUGCGGGAUGACGGCCUUCGGGUUGUAAACCGCUGUCUCCUGUGACGAAGCGUGAGUGACGGUAAUGAGUAAAGAAGCACCGGCUAACUACGUG
RNAcentral lists this ribosomal RNA (468 nucleotides) under uncultured bacterium. RNAcentral's name for it is "partial 16S ribosomal RNA". It matches the Rfam family "Bacterial small subunit ribosomal RNA", at positions 28 to 507 of the family's 1533-position model. The record is from RNAcentral.